Molecule: ribosomal RNA, 838 nt
Filed under: uncultured bacterium
Lineage: Bacteria
Description: bacterial SSU rRNA
Rfam family: Bacterial small subunit ribosomal RNA
Source: RNAcentral
UGCAAGUCGAGGGGCAGCGGGAUUGAGGCUUGCUUCAAUUGCCGGCGACCGGCGCACGGGUGAGUAACGCGUAUCCAACCUUCCGUACACUCAGGGAUAGCCUUUCGAAAGAAAGAUUAAUACCUGAUGGUAUGAUGAGAUUGCAUGAUAGCAUCAUUAAAGAUUCAUCGGUGUACGAUGGGGAUGCGUUCCAUUAGGUAGUAGGCGGGGUAACGGCCCACCUAGCCUACGAUGGAUAGGGGUUCUGAGAGGAAGGUCCCCCACAUUGGAACUGAGACACGGUCCAAACUCCUACGGGAGGCAGCAGUGAGGAAUAUUGGUCAAUGGACGAGAGUCUGAACCAGCCAAGUAGCGUGAAGGAUGAAGGUCCUACGGAUUGUAAACUUCUUUUAUAAGGGAAUAAAACCUCCCACGUGUGGGAGCUUGUAUGUACCUUAUGAAUAAGCAUCGGCUAACUCCGUGCCAGCAGCCGCGGUAAUACGGAGGAUGCGAGCGUUAUCCGGAUUUAUUGGGUUUAAAGGGAGCGCAGACGGGUCGUUAAGUCAGCUGUGAAAGUUUGGGGCUCAACCUUAAAAUUGCAGUUGAUACUGGCGUCCUUGAGUGCGGUUGAGGUGUGCGGAAUUCGUGGUGUAGCGGUGAAAUGCUUAGAUAUCACGAAGAACUCCGAUUGCGAAGGCAGCACACUAAGCCGUAACUGACGUUCAUGCUCGAAAGUGUGGGUAUCAAACAGGAUUAGAUACCCUGGUAGUCCACCCGGUAAACGAUGGAUACUCGCUGUUGGCGAUAUACUGUCAGCGGCUUAGCGAAAGCGUUAAGUAUCCCACCUGGGGAGUACGCC